UAGCGUAUAUUAAAGUUGUUGCGGUUAAAAAGCUCGUAGUUGGAUUUCUGUGGUGGGCAGCCGGUCCACACUAUGUGUGAGCAUCGGUUCGGCCACUGCAUCCUCCUGAGGACCGUGGUGCGCUUUAUUGCGUGGUGCGGAAUUCAGGACUUUUACUUUGAGGAAAUUAGAGUGUUCACGGCAGGCGCUUGCCCUGAAUAUAUUAGCAUGGAAUAAUAAUAUAGGGCGAUAGUUCUAUUUUGUUGGUUUCUAGAGCUGUCGCAAUGAUUAAUAGGGAUAGUUGGGGGCAUUCGUAUUAUGAAGUC
Molecule: ribosomal RNA, 305 nt
Filed under: Amoebophrya sp.
Lineage: Eukaryota; Dinophyceae; Syndiniales; Amoebophryaceae
Description: SSU rRNA
Rfam family: Eukaryotic small subunit ribosomal RNA
Source: RNAcentral